AUGAGGGCCCCUGUGCAGCUCCUCAGCUUCCUGCUGCUCUGGCUCCCUAGUUCCAGGUGUGAUAUUCAGAUGAACCAGCCUUCAUCCGCGUAUGCAUCUCUGGGAGACAAAGUCACCAUCACCUGCAAGGCCAGUCAAAGCAUUAGCAAUUAUUUAGCCUGGUAUCAGCAGAAACCAGGGAAAGCUCCCAGGUGUCUCAUCUAUAGAGCAACCAACUUAGAAGCAGGCAUCCCUCCCCGGUUUAGUGGCAGUGGAUCUGGGACAGAUUUCACUCUCACCAUCAGCAACCUUAAGCCUGAGGAUGCUGCCAUUUAUUACUGUCAACAGCAUAAUAGUUACCCUCCCACAGUGAUACACGCGAGAACAUAA
Molecule: non-coding RNA, 369 nt
Organism: Sorex fumeus (smoky shrew)
Lineage: Eukaryota; Metazoa; Chordata; Mammalia; Eulipotyphla; Soricidae
Source: the annotation of a RefSeq genome assembly